CUAUCCUACUUGAUGAAAUCAUUACGGAUGUAAAGGGUCCAAAGGACUCGUUUGUCCGAGAGCGCAUAAAAACCAUGUGGAUUCUUCCGUUGCCUUCCUUCUGAUUAUUCUU
Molecule: small nucleolar RNA, 112 nt
Filed under: Jaapia argillacea MUCL 33604
Lineage: Eukaryota; Fungi; Basidiomycota; Agaricomycetes; Jaapiales; Jaapiaceae
Description: Small nucleolar RNA Z13/snr52
Rfam family: Small nucleolar RNA Z13/snr52
About the family: Z13 or snr52 is a member of the C/D class of snoRNA which contain the C (UGAUGA) and D (CUGA) box motifs. Most of the members of the box C/D family function in directing site-specific 2'-O-methylation of substrate RNAs.
Source: Rfam by way of RNAcentral